This 253-nucleotide ribosomal RNA is filed under the name uncultured bacterium. RNAcentral's name for it is "partial 16S ribosomal RNA". It matches the Rfam family "Bacterial small subunit ribosomal RNA", at positions 524 to 776 of the family's 1533-position model. The record is from RNAcentral.
ACCGUAGGAGGCAAGCGAUAUCCGGAGUGACUGGGCGUAAAGAGCGUGUAGGCGGUUGAGUAAGAUGCGUGUGAAAGCGCCCGGCUAAACUGGGCGAGGACAGGCAAGACUGCUGAGCUAGAGGCCGAUAGAGGGGUGCGGAAUUCCGGGUGUAGCGGUGAAAUGUGUAGAGAUCCGGAGGAACACCAGUGGUGUAGACGGCGCCCUGGAUCGGACCUGACGCUGAGACGCGAAAGCGUGGGGAGCGAACGGG